This 868-nucleotide ribosomal RNA is filed under the name archaeon enrichment culture clone BIG A_Brut_9. RNAcentral's name for it is "bacterial SSU rRNA". It matches the Rfam family "Archaeal small subunit ribosomal RNA", at positions 5 to 879 of the family's 1478-position model. The record is from RNAcentral.
CGGUUGAUCCUGCCGGAGGCCACUGCUAUUGGGGUUCGACUAAGCCAUGCGAGUCUAUGGACUUCGGUCCAUGGCGGACGGCUCAGUAACACGUGGCUAACCUACCCUCAGGUGGGGGAUAACCUCGGGAAACUGAGGAUAAUACCCCAUAGGGGAAGAGGUCUGGAAUGAUCCUUCCCUGAAAGGACAUCCGCCUGAGGAUGGGGCUGCGUCCGAUUAGGUAGUUGGUGGGGUAAUGGCCCACCAAGCCUACGAUCGGUACGGGCCUUGAGAGAGGGAGCCCGGAGAUGGGGACUGAGACACGGCCCCAGGCCCUACGGGGCGCAGCAGGCGCGAAACCUCCACAAUGCACGAAAGUGCGAUGGGGGAACCCCAAGUGCCUAUGCACAGCAUAGGCUUUUCCCAAGUGUAAAUAGCUUGGGGAAUAAGGGCUGGGCAAGUCCGGUGCCAGCAGCCGCGGUAACACCGGCGGCCCGAGUGGUGGCCACUCUUAUUGGGCCUAAAGCGUCCGUAGCCGGUCCAGUAAGUCCCUGUUUAAAUCCUACGGCUUAACCGUAGGGCUGGCAGGGAUACUGCUGGACUUGGGACCGGGAGAGGACGAGGGUACUCCAGGGGUAGCGGUGAAAUGCGUUGAUCCCUGGAGGACCACCUAUGGCGAAGGCACUCGUCUGGAACGGGUCCGACGGUGAGGGACGAAAGCCAGGGGCGCGAACCGGAUUAGAUACCCGGGUAGUCCUGGCCGUAAACUCUGCGGACUAGGUGUCGUCUGGGCCUCGGGCCCAGGCGGUGCCGAAGGGAAGCCAUUAAGUCCGCCGCCUGGGGAGUACGGUCGCAAGACUGAAACUUAAAGGAAUUGGCGGGGGAGCAC